This is a long non-coding RNA of Ananas comosus (pineapple), 668 nucleotides long. RefSeq lists it as uncharacterized. The transcript has 3 exons. The record is from RefSeq and is a predicted model, not a curated record. Lineage: Eukaryota; Viridiplantae; Streptophyta; Magnoliopsida; Poales; Bromeliaceae.
CUGUGUGUGUUUGUGUUCUUUUUUCUUAAAAAAAAAAAAUUAUUGUGGUUUUGCUGCAGAGGGAGAGAACCAUUCUUGCCUCAGAUACCAAAGAGCUACUUGAGGAUCAGGGAUGGGAGGAUGACAGUUAAGUUGGUGAUCAAGUACUUGGUUAAGAAGCUUGGAUUGGAGAAUGAAUCAGAGGUAGAGAUUACAUGUCGAGGGCAACGGCUUUUUCCGUCCCAGACGCUGCAGCACGUACGCGACAACGUAUGGUGUUCGAGAGAUGCGGUGUCGCUACCCCUACUUGACCGAUCGACAACCCCCGAUCAUGUGAUGAUGAUCUUGCAAUACGGUAGAAGCGCGUAGAUGUUGACCGUUGAUCGUCGAUCGGUCGCGUGACUAAAUUCUUUUCUUUCUUUCUUUUUUUGAUAUAUCCUCCUUUUUCUUUUUGAUCAUGUUUUGUGCUUUGCUGUGAUCUAAUUCAUUGAGGAAACAACACAGCUUGGAAAUACUCUAGCUGGGGCAAGAACAUGGUAUACGAGAUGAUCAAAAGAUCAGGGAAGUGUAUUAAUUUCCAAGCCAUCUUUGGUGGUGGCUUGACUUUUUUUUUUUUUCUUUUUUUUGUUUUUUCUAUUUCUAAUCUACUAAUUCCUCAAUUUAAGCAAUUAAUCUCUUUGUUUUCUCCA